This 857-nucleotide ribosomal RNA is filed under the name uncultured bacterium. RNAcentral describes it as "bacterial SSU rRNA". It matches the Rfam family "Bacterial small subunit ribosomal RNA", at positions 524 to 1380 of the family's 1533-position model. The record is from RNAcentral.
UACGGAGGGUGCAAGCGUUACUCGGAAUCACUGGGCGUAAAGCGCAUGCAGGCGGUCAAAUAAGUUGGAAGUGAAAUCCUAUGGCUCAACCAUAGAACUGCUUCCAAAACUGUUUGACUAGAGUCUGGGAGGGGAAGAUGGAAUUAGUAGUGUAGGGGUAAAAUCCGUAGAGAUUACUAGGAAUACCAAAAGCGAAGGCGAUCUUCUGGAACAGUACUGACGCUGAGAUGCGAAAGCGUGGGGAGCAAACAGGAUUAGAUACCCUGGUAGUCCACGCAGUAAACGAUGAAUGUUAGUCGUUGGGUCUCUAGUAGAUUCAGUGAUGCAGUUAACACAUUAAACAUUCCGCCUGGGGAGUACGGUCGCAAGAUUAAAACUCAAAGGAAUAGACGGGGGACCCGCACAAGUGGUGGAGCAUGUGGUUUAAUUCGAAGAUACGCGAAGAACCUUACCUAGCCUUGACAUAUUUUGGAAUUCACCAGAGAUGGAGAAGUGCCUUCGGGAGCCAAUUUACAGGUGCUGCACGGCUGUCGUCAGCUCGUGUCGUGAGAUGUUGGGUUAAGUCCCGCAACGAGCGCAACCCUCGUCACUAGUUACUAACGAUUCGGUCGAGGACUCUAGUGAGACUGCCUUCGUAAGGAGGAGGAAGGUGAGGACGACGUCAAGUCAUCAUGGCCCUUACGGCUAGGGCAACACACGUGCUACAAUGGUUAGGACAAUGAGACGCGAUACCGCGAGGUGGAGCAAAUCUAUAAACCUGUUCUCAGUUCGGAUUGUAGUCUGCAACUCGACUACAUGAAGCUGGAAUCACUAGUAAUCGUAGAUCAGCUAUGCUACGGUGAAUACGUUCCCGGGUC